AUUUUAUAUUUUAGAUUAAUUGUUGUUUAUAUAUUAAUUAUAAUUCAAUAAUGUUGGUUGCUAUGGCUUUGGUAAAUGUGUCAUGAAGUAUGCUUAUAAAUUCACAAUGCAAUAGUGAAAGGGAAUAUAAGGGUAACUCGGACUUGACCUAACGUGGGAGAGGGGCGUAUAUCCGUUCAAAUGACUUUCAUGUUUGACCAAAAGUAAACUAUUAGAUAAUACAUAUACAUUUGAAAUAAGCAUAAUGAUGUGUUAUAUGUAUGAAUAUAUGUAAGAAUACAUGUUAUAUGUAUGUAUAUAUCAUACAUAAUAUAUUUUUUUUUUAUUUUUUUUUUUUUUGGCAAUAAGGAUCAAGAAGAAUCGCAUCUAUUAAUUCGAUGCGUAAAGGAAAAAGAAUAGGAGCCAAGUAAGAUAGAGAGACAUACUUCAAACAUCAGCGAAAGUAUUAAAAGCGAGGAUAAGCGAAUCGAAUGAGAAAUCUCUCUUGUCCUUGCGCCGUCCCAACGUCAAAUUCCUGAGUUCCGCACAGUACUAUAACGUUAAAAAUAUAUCAAAUAUGUCAAAUUACACGUCAAAAAUCUUAUAAAAAUAAAUACAUACACAAUUAA
This is a long non-coding RNA of Apis dorsata (giant honeybee), 608 nucleotides long. RefSeq lists it as uncharacterized. The transcript is spliced from 2 exons. The record is from RefSeq and is a predicted model, not a curated record. NCBI's taxonomy places the organism in Eukaryota, Metazoa, Arthropoda, Insecta, Hymenoptera, Apidae.